This 462-nucleotide ribosomal RNA is filed under the name uncultured bacterium. RNAcentral's name for it is "SSU rRNA". It matches the Rfam family "Bacterial small subunit ribosomal RNA", at positions 26 to 518 of the family's 1533-position model. The record is from RNAcentral.
AGAAUCAACGCUGGCGGCGUGCCUAACACAUGCAAGUCGAACGAGAAAGGGUAGCAAUACCUGAGUAAAGUGGCGCACGGGUGAGUAACACGUGACUAACCUACCUUUGAGUGGGGGAUAACCUAGGGAAACCUGGGCUAAUACCGCAUAAUACCUAUGGGUCAAGGCGAGCAAUCGCGCUUAAAGAGGGGGUCGCGGCAGAUUAGUUAGUUGGUAGGGUAAUGGCCUACCAAGACGAUAAUCUGUAUCCGGCCUGAGAGGGCGCACGGACACACUGGAACUGAAACACGGUCCAGACUCCUACGGGAGGCAGCAGUGGGAAUUUUGCGCAAUGGGGGAAACCCUGACGCAGCAACGCCGCGUGGAGGAUGAAAUAUCUUGGUAUGUAAACUCCUUUCGAUGGGGACGAUAAUGACGGUACCCAUAGAAGAACGCCCCGGCUAACUUCGCGCCAGCAGCCGC